Molecule: ribosomal RNA, 324 nt
Filed under: uncultured Caldisericales bacterium
Lineage: Bacteria; Pseudomonadati; Caldisericota; Caldisericia; Caldisericales
Description: bacterial SSU rRNA
Rfam family: Bacterial small subunit ribosomal RNA
Source: RNAcentral
CGUGCCGUGAGGCGUAGGUUAAGUCCUUGAACGAGCGCAACCCACGUGGUUAUUUGCUCUUGGUCGCAAGGCCAAGCACUAUAACCAAAACCGCUACCGACGAGGUAGAGGAAGGUGUGGAUGACGUCAAAUCAUCACGCCCCUUAUGUCCAGGGCUACACACAUGCGACAAUGGUUGGAACAAUGAGUUGCAAACCAGUAAUGGCAAGCUAAUCUCCAACACCAGCCCCAGUACGGAUCGAGGGUUGAAACUCACCCUCGUGAAGAUGGAGUUGCUAGUAAACGCAAGUCAGCCAUAUUGCGUUGAAUACGUUCCCGGGCCUU